AUUAAACGCUGGCGGCAUGCCUUACACAUGCAAGUCGAACGGCAGCACGGGGGCAACCCUGGUGGCGAGUGGCGGACGGGUGAGUAAAGCAUCGGAACGUAUCCUGGAGUGGGGGAUAACGUAGCGAAAGUUACGCUAAUACCGCAUAUUCUGUGAGCAGGAAAGCAGGGGAUCGCAAGACCUUGCGCUCUGGGAGCGGCCGAUGUCGGAUUAGCUAGUUGGUGGGGUAAAGGCCUACCAAGGCGACGAUCCGUAGCGGGUCUGAGAGGAUGAUCCGCCACACUGGGACUGAGACACGGCCCAGACUCCUACCGGGAGGCAGCAGUGGGGAAUUUUGGACAAUGGGCGCAAGCCUGAUCCAGCCAUGCCGCGUGAGUGAAGAAGGCCUCGGUUGUAAG
This 398-nucleotide ribosomal RNA is filed under the name uncultured bacterium. Its description in RNAcentral is "bacterial SSU rRNA". It matches the Rfam family "Bacterial small subunit ribosomal RNA", at positions 29 to 429 of the family's 1533-position model. The record is from RNAcentral.